RNAcentral lists this transfer RNA (78 nucleotides) under Caudoviricetes sp. RNAcentral's name for it is "tRNA-Met". It matches the Rfam family "tRNA". From Rfam's summary of the family: Transfer RNA (tRNA) molecules are approximately 80 nucleotides in length. Their secondary structure includes four short double-helical elements and three loops (D, anti-codon, and T loops). Lineage: Duplodnaviria; Heunggongvirae; Uroviricota; Caudoviricetes. The record is from RNAcentral.
CCCCCUAUAGCUCAAAUGGUUAGCAGCACCCGACUCAUAAUCGGUAGGUUACAGGUUCAAGCCCUGUUAGGGGGACCA